AGACAUAAUGCACCCCACCUCAAAAACACGCAGCCCGCAAUGACAGUAGAUAUGGUUGCCUUCUCUUGGAGGUGCGGCGCAGGAGGGUGGUGGGGGGGCGACAACGCCACCUUUUCCCCAACACAACCUAAUGGCUGGGGCUCAAUAAAAACAACGGCGGUGGCAACAACAACCCAAAUUAGCCGUGACAGCGUGCGGGGUACCCGAGCGCCUUUCUAAUUGAUCAUUCUCGGUUGGAGACUUCCCGGCCCUUGCUGCCACAGCUGCACCGCGGCUAUUCUUAGCGCAGGUGUGCUGUAGUCGUUGGAGUUCUUAUUUUGAGCUUUGGCUGUAAACACAUUCCAGAAACAUUUAUUCAGAGAAGGAGAGGGCUCUUUAUCUAGUUCAAUAUCACAAAGGUGUAGCAGGAGGGGACUUUUUUCUUGGGUUUUCUGCAAUGCAGCUGCCAUUUUCCAGCUAACGCCGCCAAGGCUGAAAUGAGCCCCUAGCCGGCUGACCUAUUGUGAGAAUUAAUUAACAGCCGCAGCAGAUUCGAGCACAGUUAUUUGGGACUUUCUGUACGUAGGUGUGAUAUGUGGGUCAGCGGGGAGUGACGCGGCGCGGGGCGCCAUGUCAUCUCAAGCUAUCAGCGAGCGACAGCCUCUCAAUAAGCGUGCUGAUCCCGGGCCAAGCCUGCUGACCGGCACAGUUAACAUUCCCAUCCCUUUGCAGACGACUAAUCCGGGAAUUCAACAAUGCGCCUGGCCUUCCAAAACCAGGGAUCAAAUUCUCUGUUGGCUCCGCAUUAGCACACGCAGACCCCGGCCCAAUGCCCACCCACAAAGCAGACUUGCAGAAAUCCACACACGUUCACACCCCCGGUUCAUUUUCCAGCUUGAGCCGCAUGCAGCACGGAGCGACAGAGGGAUGUUAACUAGCGCUGUGAAUUCAUCCCCUGUGUUUCCCCAUUCUUGUUUUCUUCUCUUAAUCUUUCAUGUGUGUUUCAAGCUAACCUUCAAUGUACAUUUAACCCAACUAACAUGACUGGCCGGGCUUUUAACUUGCAUUAUGCUCCGUGACAUUGACAAGAAAAAAAAAAAGAGGUGAGGAGAGCGUGCGGUGUUUGCACCCAGGCGAUGGGAUCAAAUCCGGGGAGAAAUCCAUUUCCUUGAGAAGCCAUGCCGCAGGGACGGGAAAACUGGACGCAUCCUGACAUGCAAUUAGUCCACGCUGCACUUUGGGAGCAUUGCAAUUAGUCAGACUGCCACAAGGUCAGAUAGAAGAGAUACACUACGCUGGUGUCGGAACCUCUCAGCUGUGUGCGGUAAUUACUGGUGUCCUUGAUAUGUGAUGUGAAAUGGGGAUGGUAACCUUUAGUGUUUGCCUGUUAGCUCCCCUCCUCCCCUCUAUGCCACCUUCCUCCUCUCAGCUCCUGGGAGUGCGGAGGGACAACGGAAGGCUCACUUUGGAGGUAGAUGUGAAGUGUGCUUGAGUGCCAGCUGGUGCCUUGGGACAUGGUUGAACAUCCACCGGCCAAAUGGUCAUUGCUGUGAAGCAGGACGACACUUUUGAAGGGUCCUGCUGUCCAGGGGAGGAUGACCGGAGGACUCAAGGAUGCACGCUUUGGCCCUAUUUUUGGACAUGGACCUCUGUUUAAAAAGAAGAGAAUUAAGUUCUACAGACACGUUUUAGAUAUUCGUCCUUGGGUAAUAAUUUGUCUGACCACCCAAUACCAUCAGGGCUUAGAGUGUAUUUUGCUUUUUCUGGUUUGUGUGAGAUCUUAACUGUGAAAAUUCCAAGGAGGAAUUUAAAAUACAACAGUUUUAAGAAACUAAAGUCAUAAUGUUUAGAGUUGCAUGAGUCAGAUGUUUGAAUUGCUUACAUGAAUUAAUACAAAAUAAAUAAAAAAUGUCAAUGAUUCAACCCCUGCAAACAUAUGUGAGGGACCAAGUUGGCAAGCAUGAGCAUCCAGCCAGAGAUUUGGCGAAAACAGGGAUUCACCCAAUGAACUUAUCUUAAACACACAAGUCAGGUUAGGAUUCUCAAACAAUGUCAACACCAACUGAAAUGAACAAACCACAUUUCAAAAUCGCAGAUUAUACAAUUUCUGUCAAAAAGGGGUCAGAUGGAGAAAAACACUGACCACUGGAUUACCAUUUUAACAAUAUAACAGUUCAUUUGUCAGUUUGGGUAUUCCAUAAAAAAACAAAAAGUGUAUUAUAUUAACUAAUAUAUUUAAAGGAAAUUAAAAAUAAUCUCAAAAUUUAAACAUUUCACCCCAUGAUGUUGUGAGCACUUGGUACGUUCUGAUUAGCCACUUCCUGUAUUUAAUAGUUUAGUCCAUGUUGUGCAUCUUUGCUUUCUCUUGACAAAAGCAGCACUUCUCUAAAUAAGUAGAAAUGAUAACUACAAAUGGAUGUCUGAAGGAGUGUCAGCACUCAGCUAUUUGCCAUUUUCAACUAAAUGAAUCCUGUCAUUCUGAAGUUCCUGAAAAGGAUCUUGUCCC
Long non-coding RNA from Gasterosteus aculeatus aculeatus (three-spined stickleback), 2485 nucleotides. Lineage: Eukaryota; Metazoa; Chordata; Actinopteri; Perciformes; Gasterosteidae. The record is from Ensembl.